This 301-nucleotide ribosomal RNA is filed under the name uncultured bacterium. RNAcentral's name for it is "partial 16S ribosomal RNA". It matches the Rfam family "Bacterial small subunit ribosomal RNA", at positions 509 to 807 of the family's 1533-position model. The record is from RNAcentral.
CAGUCGCCGCGGGAAUACGAAGGGUGCAAGCGUUAAUCGGAAUUACUGGGCGUAAAGCGUGCGUAGGCGGUUUGUUAAGUCUGUUGUGAAAUCCCCGGGCUCAACCUGGGAAUGGCAAUGGAUACUGGCAAGCUAGAGUGUGUCAGAGGAUGGUGGAACUCCCGGUGUAGCGGUGAAAUGUGUAGAGAUCGGGAGGAACAUCAGUGGCGAAGGCGGCCAUCUGGGACAACACUGACGCUGAGGCACGAAAACGUGGGGAGCAAACAGGAUUAGAUACCCCUGUAGUCCCUGUCUCUUAUAC